ACGAAAGGGCACUCUAAUGAGACUGCCGGUGACAAACCGGAGGAAGGUGGGGAUGACGUCAGGUCCUCAUGGCCCUUAUGGGUAGGGCUACACACGUCAUACAAUGGCCGGUACAGAGGGCUGCCAACCCGCGAGGGGGAGCCAAUCCCAGAAAACCGGUCGUAGUCCGGAUCGCAGUCUGCAACUCGACUGCGUGAAGUCGGAAUCGCUAGUAAUCGCGGAUCAGCUUGCCGCGGUGAAUACGUUCCCGGGUCUU
RNAcentral lists this ribosomal RNA (256 nucleotides) under uncultured Burkholderiales bacterium. RNAcentral's name for it is "partial 16S ribosomal RNA". It matches the Rfam family "Bacterial small subunit ribosomal RNA", at positions 1127 to 1382 of the family's 1533-position model. Lineage: Bacteria; Pseudomonadati; Pseudomonadota; Betaproteobacteria; Burkholderiales. The record is from RNAcentral.